RNAcentral lists this long non-coding RNA (297 nucleotides) under Salmo salar (Atlantic salmon). Its description in RNAcentral is "lncRNA (ENSSSAG00000095695.1, ENSSSAG00020063499.1, ENSSSAG00075011236.1)". The record is from RNAcentral. Lineage: Eukaryota; Metazoa; Chordata; Actinopteri; Salmoniformes; Salmonidae.
UGUAAAACAACUUCCUGCCUCUUUUGGCUCUGGUUCCAAAAACGGCAAAGGCUGGGCUCACGUGUCUCCCCCCCUCUCUCCCCGAAGUAUCAGGAGGUCUAAAAAGAGAGAAAGCCAGAAAAAGGAAAAGUGUAAAAUCUCUGCAUGUCUCCUCUUGAGGACUUAUUUUGAUGCCUUGUGUCUUUAAUGCCACAUGAGAAGUAAAGGAGGAGAGCAGGGGACUGCAUGCCUAGCAGAACGGAAAGCUGUUGUCACGUCGGCCACACACUGGAAAGAAACAAGAUGGAGACUGCAGAC